GGUUCCAUGGUGUAGUGGUUAUCACAUCUGCUACACUCAGAAGGUCCUGGGUUCAAUUCCCAGUGGAAGCA
Molecule: non-coding RNA, 71 nt
Organism: Sus scrofa (pig)
Lineage: Eukaryota; Metazoa; Chordata; Mammalia; Artiodactyla; Suidae
Source: Rfam